RNAcentral lists this ribosomal RNA (268 nucleotides) under uncultured bacterium. RNAcentral describes it as "partial 16S ribosomal RNA". It matches the Rfam family "Bacterial small subunit ribosomal RNA", at positions 524 to 787 of the family's 1533-position model. The record is from RNAcentral.
UACAGAGGGUGCAAGCGUUUAAUCGGAUUUACUGGGCGUAAAGCGCGCGUAGGCGGCUAAUUAAGUCAAAUGUGAAAUCCCCGACGCUUAACUUGGGAAUUGCAUUCGAUACUGGUUAGCUAGAGUGUGGGAGAGGAUGGUAGAAUUCCAGGUGUAGCGGUGAAAUGCGUAGAGAUCUGGAGGAAUACCGAUGGCGAAGGCAGCCAUCUGGCCUAACACUGACGCUGAGGUGCGAAAGCAUGGGGAGCAAACAGGGAUUAAGAAACCC